AUGAAGCUGGAAUCGCUAGUAAUCGCAGAUCAGAAUGCUGCGGUGAAUACGUUCCCGGGUCUUGUACACACCGCCCGUCACACCAUGGGAGUUGGAAAUGCCCGAAGCCAGUGACCCAACCGUAAGGAGGGAGCUGUCGAAGGUGGAGCCGAUGACUGGGGUGAAGUCGUAACAAGGUAUC
RNAcentral lists this ribosomal RNA (181 nucleotides) under uncultured bacterium. RNAcentral's name for it is "partial 16S ribosomal RNA". It matches the Rfam family "Bacterial small subunit ribosomal RNA", at positions 1320 to 1500 of the family's 1533-position model. The record is from RNAcentral.